This 253-nucleotide ribosomal RNA is filed under the name uncultured bacterium. RNAcentral describes it as "partial 16S ribosomal RNA". It matches the Rfam family "Bacterial small subunit ribosomal RNA", at positions 524 to 776 of the family's 1533-position model. The record is from RNAcentral.
UACGUAGGGCGCAGGCGUUAUCCGGAAUUAUUGGGCGUAAAGAGCUCGUAGGCGGUUUGUCGCGUCUGCCGUGAAAGUCCGGGGCUCAACUCCGGAUCUGCGGUGGGUACGGGCAGACUAGAGUGAUGUAGGGGAGACUGGAAUUCCUGGUGUAGCGGUGAAAUGCGCAGAUAUCAGGAGGAACACCGAUGGCGAAGGCAGGUCUCUGGGCAUUAACUGACGCUGAGAAGCGAAAGCGUGGGGAGCGAACAGG